Molecule: long non-coding RNA, 1656 nt
Organism: Lynx canadensis (Canada lynx)
Lineage: Eukaryota; Metazoa; Chordata; Mammalia; Carnivora; Felidae
Exons: 2
Source: RefSeq, a predicted model, not a curated record
UAAGAUCAUGACCCAAGCCGAAGUCGGCCGCUUAACUGACUGAGCCACCCAGGCGCCCCUGUGGGCAGCUUUUAAGCAAAGCUUGUUCUCAGGGCACCAUCUUGACCAAGAACCUACGUUCAGGGCAUACUCUAAUAAUGCAACCAGGACUCAUCAACUGGAUCCCAAAUCAGUACUUUCCAAAAGAGACUCACCUGGGAACUGGUCCCAAAUAUAAAUAUGGUGAAGAGAGAGAGAGAGAGAGAGAGACAAAGAAAAGGAACAGUACCCCAGCAUCCCGGUCAGCAGGCUCAUCUAUGACUCACCUGUAGACAAAGAGAAAAUAAAUAUGGACUUUAGGCACCAAAAAGUCUGGUGACUGUGCGCUCAAAGUAAGAAAAGAAGACCCCCCCACCCCCCCCACCCCCGCCAAUCCAGCUUUUGGAUUGUUUUUAAAAGGACAUGAAACCCAGGCUUGGGUCACAUGCACUGUUGGAAAAGUCCUUCCCUACUGGAUUGUGCCAUGUGACCCUGAGGUCCCUUUCUCACUCUUGUUCUCCCUUGGCCACAGCUGGUUAUAGCUGAGGCAGGGGGUCACCCAGGGCAGUAAAGCAGACUGGCUGAGAUGAAGAUGCAGGGAUCCAUGCUGCCUUCUCACCAUGCACUUCCCCUCCAAGGACAGCCUGCUGCAGUGGAGCUGCUCUAGAUCCUUAACACAACUGGCUUGAAGGCACAGAACAGGGAAGGAAAGGCCUGGAGCCUCUGCAGUGGGGUUGAGCACAGCUUCCAGGGCUUUAUUUCUUCAGUCUGAAAUCAUAAACCACUCACUGCUUUUGCCGUCAUUCCCUGGAGGUACCAGUAAGUGUUUGAUACCAGUGUGAUCCUCAGAUGAGGAACUGGCCUUUAGGACUGUUUGCCCAUAUCCUGAUCUUACGAGCAGGUGGUAGACUUGCACUUUCUCCCCAGAUUUGCUUUGGCCAGCAAAAUGUGACCAGAAGUGUUCUACUUCUAAGCAGAGGUCCUUAGGAGCCAGUGUGUGAUUUUCCACACUCCGUUCCCUUUGCCAGGAGUGACUGGUGGUGUCCCAGAGAAUGGAGGCUCUGUCAGCCUAGGUUCCAUGUUAGGGCACUAUGGUGUAGAGCCCUCACCAACAAAUGUGCAACAUGAAAUGUGACUGAGAAAUAAACCUUUGAUGUUUGAAGCCACUGAGAUUUGGGGUUGUUGCCACAGCAUAACUUAGUUUACCCUGACCACUACAACCACAGUAGAGAUUGUGUCUAAGAAGACUCAGCUGCACCCAGCACAGACCCAGACAUUUAUUGAGCACCCACUAGGAGCUGGGUGUUCUGUCAGGACAGGGCUAAAUUGCCAACACCAGGACAGAUUUACACAUGUGUGCAGAAGAAGGAACAAUUCAUUCUUUAUGUAAGUGACAUUAAGCUAAACCUUGGAGAGUUUCAGUCCAUCAAUACCAACAGCAGUUAACAUUUUUUGAGCUAUGUAGUAGGAGCUAAUCUAUACUUGUUUGGACCUAUUUGAUCUAUAUGGUGACCCUAGAAGGUGGGUACUAUUAUCUUCAUUUCUCAGAUGAAGAAACCGAGACACAAGUUAAGUAACCUACCUAAGAUCACAACUCUCAGAUUCAACCCCAGAGCCCAUUUUCUUUAGCAUUCUAGG